CCCAGACUCCUACGGGAGGCAGCAGUGAGGAAUAUUGGUCAAUGGCCGUAAGGCUGAACCAGCCAAGUAGCGUGAGGGAAGACGGUCCUAUGGAUUGUAAACCUCUUUUGUCGGGGAGCAAAGAGGCCACGUGUGGUCAAAAGCGAGAGUACCCGAAGAAAAAGCAUCGGCUAACUCCGUGCCAGCAGCCGCGGUAAUACGGAGGAUGCGAGCGUUAUCCGGAUUUAUUGGGUUUAAAGGGUGCGUAGGCGGGACGGUAAGUCAGCGGUAAAAAUGCGGAGCUCAACUCCGUCGAGCCGUUGAAACUGCCGUUCUUGAGUGAGCGAGAAGUAUGCGGAAUGCGUGGUGUAGCGGUGAAAUGCAUAGAUAUCACGCAGAACUCCGAUUGCGAAGGCAGCAUACCGGCGCUCAACUGACGCUGAAGCACGAAGGCGUGGGUAUCGAACAGGAUUAGAUACCCGCGUAAG
Molecule: ribosomal RNA, 467 nt
Filed under: uncultured bacterium
Lineage: Bacteria
Description: bacterial SSU rRNA
Rfam family: Bacterial small subunit ribosomal RNA
Source: RNAcentral